Molecule: long non-coding RNA, 1569 nt
Filed under: Homo sapiens (human)
Lineage: Eukaryota; Metazoa; Chordata; Mammalia; Primates; Hominidae
Description: HSALNT0010420
Source: RNAcentral
CUUUCAAUUUAUUUUGAGCCCCAGAGCACUUUAGCCCACAGUGGUGAGGCUUGCAAAAACUCAAGUUCUGACUGCUGGCAUUGGCAGUUUCCCUCUGGCUAAGGGUGGUUGAAAUGCAUCCUCUGUGGUCUGGCGUCAGCUGAGUUUGGUCCAGUUUUUCUUUCUGCUAUAACAAGGGCAGCACUGAGUUCAAUGCCUCACAGUUGCUGGCUCUCCCUCUCCCCAGGGCACAGAAACGCUCUUCAGACCAUACUCCUACUGCCAGGGGAUGGAGAAGGCAUGGUGUCAGCAAUUCAAGACUGUUUUUCCUACCUCUUCAGUGUCUCUUUCGGCAAAAUGAAGUGAAAAUCAGGAACAAGAUGUCUCCAGAGUUAAAUACAUGAAUUAAAUGCAAUUUCAAUGGAUGUCCCAAUGUUUUAAAUUGAAUAACAUGACUUUAAAGAAGAUAUGGGAAACUUCAACUCCCAGAAAAAUGAAGUAGAUACAUACUUCUCUAUUCCUUCCACUAAGUACAACUGAAAACCGUGACACUAUAUAUAAAACAAACAUAAGAAGACUCUGAAAGGCAAGAAUGGGUUUUCUUUUGCCUCCUUUAUUCCAGACUUGUAACUGAAGAAGCCAUCAACCAAGAAAUUUCCAACAGACCCAGAUGGAAAAAGUCCCAGUGAAAGCCUGUUCUUUAGCCAAAGGGGCCAGAAAAGAGCAAGAUAGCAGGACAAGUGUCAUUGAGGAGAAUUUGCCUAGGAGAUGCAAAGAGAGAGAAGCCUAUACUUUGAGGGUGGAAGCCCCUCCAACAGAUCUCUGCCAUCAUGUGAGAGAGAGCCUGAGUUAGCCUGCUGGAUGGUCAAAGAUGAGUGGUGCAGCUAAGUGAAAGCCUGCUGACUUGUAGACAUAUGAGUAAGGCCAUGCUUGAUCACCUGGCUGCCAGCUGGCCUGCCAACUAAUUGCAGGUACUUGAAAGAGUCCAGCAGAGAUCAGCCACCCCAGGUCAAAUAAACACCCAGCCCCCUCCCUGAGAAUGAUGAACUAAAUAAAUGUCUUAAGUACUAAGUUUUGGGUGUUUGCUACAUAGCAAAAGCUAAUUGAUACUGUUCCCAAGGAGUGGAAAACUUCUGUAACAAAAAACAAAAAAUUCUGGCAUUGGUUUUGGGAUUGGGCAAUGGGUAGAGGCUAGAAAAAUGGCAAGGAAGCUGCCAUAGCAACCUAGAAAAAUGGCAACCCAUGCUAUAAAAUAGGGCAAUUGGUCAAUAAUUUUUGAAGUGGUUUGUUAUGCAGCAAUAGCCUACUGAUACACCAUGUGAAUUAUAGCAAGGAAUAGCUAAGGCAAAACAAAACAUUGGAUGAGUAGCAUAGUUCAUUCUAAAGAACCACUAAGGCUUGCUCAGGAAUAUGUACUAAUUCAGGUGGCAUCUGUUAACUAUCACUGAGCAUAAUAUUGGAGGAUAAAUCUGCUUUGCUUAUUGCCACCCCCGUAGCUUAGAAGCUACUCCUAAAACAGCAAGGAUGUCACUGUGGCAGUGGGCAAGGAUUAAUUCCCUCAUUUAUUUAUUCAUUUAUUAAUUCAACAAA